CUCUCCAAAUAAUGCUAGUCCUAAGGUGGUACAAUCAUUUUUUCUGUGAGCAAUUUGUUGAUUUUUAUAUUUUUGAGAGAGAGAGAGAGAGAGAGAGAGAGAGAGAGAGAGAGCGUGAGCAGGGGAGGGGCAGAGAGAGAGGGAGACCCAGAAUCCGAAG
This is a long non-coding RNA of Leopardus geoffroyi (Geoffroy's cat), 160 nucleotides long. RefSeq lists it as uncharacterized. The transcript has 3 exons. The record is from RefSeq and is a predicted model, not a curated record. Lineage: Eukaryota; Metazoa; Chordata; Mammalia; Carnivora; Felidae.